RNAcentral lists this ribosomal RNA (460 nucleotides) under uncultured bacterium. RNAcentral describes it as "partial 16S ribosomal RNA". It matches the Rfam family "Bacterial small subunit ribosomal RNA", at positions 338 to 795 of the family's 1533-position model. The record is from RNAcentral.
CCUACGGGAGGCAGCAGUGAGGAAUAUUGGUCAAUGGGCGCGAGCCUGAACCAGCCAAGUCGCGUGAGGGAGGACGGCCCUACGGGUUGUAAACCUCUUUUGCCGGGGAGCAACGGGCGCCACGUGUGGCGUCACUGAGAGUACCCGGAGAAAAAGCAUCGGCUAACUCCGUGCCAGCAGCCGCGGUAAUCCGGAGGAUGCGAGCUUUAUCCGGAUUUAUUGGGUUUAAAGGGUGGGUGGGCGGAACGUUAAGUCAGUGGUAAAAUUGAGGGGCUCAACCCCUUCCCGCCAUUGAAACUGGCGUUCUUGAGUGGAAGAGAGGUAUGUGGAAUGCGUGGUGUAGCGGUGAAAUGCAUAGAUAUCACGCAGAACACCGAUUGCGAAGGCAGCAUGCCGGAUUCCGAAUGACGCUGAAGCACGAAAGCGUGGGGAGCGAACAGGAUUAGAUACCCCGGUAGUC